UUUGUACUUUAUCAGGUGCUCU
Molecule: microRNA, 22 nt
Filed under: Daphnia pulex (common water flea)
Lineage: Eukaryota; Metazoa; Arthropoda; Branchiopoda; Diplostraca; Daphniidae
Description: dpu-miR-305
Gene: dpu-miR-305
Source: miRBase by way of RNAcentral